RNAcentral lists this ribosomal RNA (425 nucleotides) under uncultured prokaryote. RNAcentral's name for it is "bacterial SSU rRNA". It matches the Rfam family "Bacterial small subunit ribosomal RNA", at positions 355 to 774 of the family's 1533-position model. The record is from RNAcentral.
UGGGGAAUCAUGGUCAAUGGGCGAAAGCCUGAACCUGCGACGCCGCGUGAGUGAUGAAGGUCGUAAGAUCGUAAAACUCUUUUCAGGGAUCUUAACGCACAGCUGUCAACAACAGCUGUGUCUGACUCUCCCUGGAAGAAGCCCCAGCCAACUACGUGCCAGCAGCUGCGGUAAUACGUAGGGGGCGAGCGUUAUUCGGAAUUACUGGGUGUAAAGGGUAUGUAGGCGGCCCUUCAAGUCGCGUGUCAAAGUCCAGUGCUCAACGCUGGGUGUGCGCGCGAUACUGACGGGCUUGAGGGCUGGAGAGGUGAGCGGAAUUCCCGGUGUAGUGGUAAAAUACGUAGAGAUCGGGAGGAACACCAGCGGCGCAGGCGGCUCACUAGACAGUUUCUGACGCUAAGAUACGAAAGCGUGGGGAGCAAACA